GAUUUUCCCACUCCCCUUUUGUCCACUUACACUCCAUUUUGUUUUUUUAAUAGUUUUUACUAUAACAAAAAAGGGAGUGUAAGUGGAGAAAAGAGGAGUGGGUACAUACAAUUUUUAACAAAGGGAGUGUAAGUGGAUAAAAGAGGAGUGGGAAAAUC
Molecule: microRNA precursor, 158 nt
Filed under: Prunus dulcis (almond)
Lineage: Eukaryota; Viridiplantae; Streptophyta; Magnoliopsida; Rosales; Rosaceae
Description: sRNA ncRNA
Source: RNAcentral